GAUGAAGAACGUAGCGAAAUGCGAUAAGUAGUGUGAAUUGCAGAAUUCAGUGAAUCAUCGAAUCUUUGAACGCACAUUGCGCCCUUUGGUAUUCCAAAGGGCAUGCCUGUUCGAGCGUCAUUUGUACCCUCAAGCUUUGCUUGGUGUUGGGCGUCUUGUCUCUAGCUUUGCUGGAGACUCGCCUUAAAGUAAUUGGCAGCCGGCCUACUGGUUUCGGAGCGCAGCACAAGUCGCACUCUCUAUCAUCAAAGGUCUAGCAUCCAUUAAGCCUUUUUUUCAACUUUUGACCUCGGAUCAGGUAGGGAUACCCGCUGAACUUAAGCAUAUCAAUAAGCGGAGGA
This 341-nucleotide unclassified non-coding RNA is filed under the name soil metagenome. RNAcentral describes it as "partial contains 5.8S ribosomal RNA, internal transcribed spacer 2, and large subunit ribosomal RNA". The stretch from base 1 to 120 matches the Rfam family "5.8S ribosomal RNA", at positions 35 to 154 of the family's 154-position model. The record is from RNAcentral.